Molecule: ribosomal RNA, 335 nt
Filed under: Dicranocara deschodti
Lineage: Eukaryota; Metazoa; Arthropoda; Insecta; Coleoptera; Scarabaeidae
Description: eukaryotic LSU rRNA
Rfam family: Eukaryotic large subunit ribosomal RNA
Source: RNAcentral
GACCAAGGAGUCUAGCAUGUGCGCGAGUCAUUGGGAUUAACUAAACCUAAAGGCGCAAUGAAAGUGAAGGUUCGCCUCGCGCGAACCGAGGGAGGAUGGACGCGCGAUAAAAACGCGUCCCGCACUCCCGGGGCGUCUCGUUCUCAUCGCGAGAAGAGGCGCACCUAGAGCGUACACGCUGGGACCCGAAAGAUGGUGAACUAUGCUUGGUCAGGACGAAGUCAGGGGAAACCCUGAUGGAGGUCCGUAGCGAUUCUGACGUGCAAAUCGAUCGUCGGAACUGAGUAUAGGAGCGAAAGACUAAUCGAACCAUCUAGUACGUGGUUCCUUCCGAA